This 21-nucleotide microRNA is filed under the name Tribolium castaneum (red flour beetle). RNAcentral describes it as "tca-miR-3839-3p". Lineage: Eukaryota; Metazoa; Arthropoda; Insecta; Coleoptera; Tenebrionidae. The record is from miRBase by way of RNAcentral.
ACUUGUUGCCGUUUCCUACGU